This 216-nucleotide ribosomal RNA is filed under the name uncultured bacterium. Its description in RNAcentral is "partial 16S ribosomal RNA". It matches the Rfam family "Bacterial small subunit ribosomal RNA", at positions 118 to 351 of the family's 1533-position model. The record is from RNAcentral.
UGGGAACGUACCCUUUGGUUCGGAACAACCCAGGGAAACUUGGGCUAAUACCGGAUAAGUCCGUAAGGAGAAAGAUUUAUCGCCAAAAGAUCGGCCCGCGUCUGAUUAGCUAGUUGGUGAGGUAACGGCUCACCAAGGCGACGAUCAGUAGCUGGUCUGAGAGGAUGAUCAGCCACAUUGGGACUGAGACACGGCCCAAACUCCUACGGGAGGCAG